This 497-nucleotide ribosomal RNA is filed under the name uncultured bacterium. RNAcentral describes it as "partial 16S ribosomal RNA". It matches the Rfam family "Bacterial small subunit ribosomal RNA", at positions 28 to 507 of the family's 1533-position model. The record is from RNAcentral.
GAUGAACGCUGGCGGCGUGCCUAAUACAUGCAAGUCGAGCGAACAGAUGAGGAGCUUGCUCCUCUGACGUUAGCGGCGGACGGGUGAGUAACACGUGGAUAACCUACCUAUAAGACUGGGAUAACUUCGGGAAACCGGAGCUAAUACCGGAUAAUAUAUUGAACCGCAUGGUUCAAUAGUGAAAGACGGUUUUGCUGUCACUUUUAGAUGGAUCCGCGCCGCAUUAGCUAGUUGGUAAGGUAACGGCUUACCAAGGCAACGAUGCGUAGCCGACCUGAGAGGGUGAUCGGCCACACUGGAACUGAGACACGGUCCAGACUCCUAAGGGAGGCAGCAGUAGGGAAUCUUCCGCAAUGGGCGAAAGCUUGACGGAGCAAAGCCGCGUGAGUGAUGAAGGUCUUCGGAUCGUAAAACUCUGUUAUUAGGGAAGAACAAAUGUGUAAGUAACUAUGCACGUCUUGACGGUACCUAAUCAGAAAGCCACGGCUAACUACGUG